This is a long non-coding RNA of Aricia agestis (brown argus), 243 nucleotides long. RefSeq lists it as uncharacterized. Lineage: Eukaryota; Metazoa; Arthropoda; Insecta; Lepidoptera; Lycaenidae. The transcript is spliced from 3 exons. The record is from RefSeq and is a predicted model, not a curated record.
AAAUAUCAGAGAAACAUGCUCGGCUAAAAAAGGCGGACGGAGUCCCAACUCCCACCAUACACAAAACUGCGUCGUUCAGAGUCGGCCAGCUGGCUGUAUGUACCCGGACCGCACGCACACAUUCUAGCGCUAGUCCAUACCAUUUGACAGGCGUAAGAAUGUGUGCGUGGCCGACUCUGAAGAAAUGAGAAGACACACAGUUUUGUAUACAUAACAAGACUCCGUCCGCCUUUUUUUCUACGU